This 645-nucleotide ribosomal RNA is filed under the name uncultured Stenotrophomonas sp. RNAcentral describes it as "bacterial SSU rRNA". It matches the Rfam family "Bacterial small subunit ribosomal RNA", at positions 338 to 974 of the family's 1533-position model. The record is from RNAcentral. Lineage: Bacteria; Pseudomonadati; Pseudomonadota; Gammaproteobacteria; Lysobacterales; Lysobacteraceae.
CCUACGGGAGGCAGCAGUGGGGAAUAUUGGACAAUGGGCGCAAGCCUGAUCCAGCCAUACCGCGUGGGUGAAGAAGGCCUUCGGGUUGUAAAGCCCUUUUGUUGGGAAAGAAAACUUGCAGGUUAAUACCCAGCAAGUCUGACGGUACCCAAAGAAUAAGCACCGGCUAACUUCGUGCCAGCAGCCGCGGUAAUACGAAGGGUGCAAGCGUUACUCGGAAUUACUGGGCGUAAAGCGUGCGUAGGUGGUUGUUUAAGUCUGUUGUGAAAGCCCUGGGCUCAACCUGGGAAUUGCAGUGGAUACUGGGCGACUAGAGUGUGGUAGAGGGUAGUGGAAUUCCCGGUGUAGCAGUGAAAUGCGUAGAGAUCGGGAGGAACAUCCAUGGCGAAGGCAGCUACCUGGACCAACACUGACACUGAGGCACGAAAGCGUGGGGAGCAAACAGGAUUAGAUACCCUGGUAGUCCACGCCCUAAACGAUGCGAACUGGAUGUUGGGUGCAAUUUGGCACGCAGUAUCGAAGCUAACGCGUUAAGUUCGCCGCCUGGGGAGUACGGUCGCAAGACUGAAACUCAAAGGAAUUGACGGGGGCCCGCACAAGCGGUGGAGUAUGUGGUUUAAUUCGAUGCAACGCGAAGAACCUUAC